Molecule: ribosomal RNA, 920 nt
Filed under: Dyella sp. E3R11_pA
Lineage: Bacteria; Pseudomonadati; Pseudomonadota; Gammaproteobacteria; Lysobacterales; Rhodanobacteraceae
Description: bacterial SSU rRNA
Rfam family: Bacterial small subunit ribosomal RNA
Source: RNAcentral
AGAGUUUGAUCCUGGCUCAGAUUGAACGCUGGCGGCAUGCCUAACACAUGCAAGUCGAACGGCAGCACAGCAGUAGCAAUACUGUGGGUGGCGAGUGGCGGACGGGUGAGUAAUGCAUCGGGAUCUACCCAAACGUGGGGGAUAACGUAGGGAAACUUACGCUAAUACCGCAUACGUCCUACGGGAGAAAGCGGGGGACCGAAAGGCCUCGCGCGGUUGGACGAACCGAUGUGCGAUUAGCUAGUUGGUAGGGUAAUGGCCUACCAAGGCGACGAUCGCUAGCUGGUCUGAGAGGAUGAUCAGCCACACUGGAACUGAGACACGGUCCAGACUCCUACGGGAGGCAGCAGUGGGGAAUAUUGGACAAUGGGCGCAAGCCUGAUCCAGCAAUGCCGCGUGUGUGAAGAAGGCCUUCGGGUUGUAAAGCACUUUUAUCAGGAGCGAAAUACCACGGGUUAAUACCCUAUGGGGCUGACGGUACCUGAGGAAUAAGCACCGGCUAACUUCGUGCCAGCAGCCGCGGUAAUACGAAGGGUGCAAGCGUUAAUCGGAAUUACUGGGCGUAAAGCGUGCGUAGGCGGUUUGUUAAGUCUGUUGUGAAAUCCCCGGGCUCAACCUGGGAAUGGCAAUGGAUACUGGCAAGCUAGAGUGUGAUAGAGGAUGGUGGAAUUCCCGGUGUAGCGGUGAAAUGCGUAGAGAUCGGGAGGAACAUCAGUGGCGAAGGCGGCCAUCUGGAUCAACACUGACGCUGAGGCACGAAAGCGUGGGGAGCAAACAGGAUUAGAUACCCUGGUAGUCCACGCCCUAAACGAUGCGAACUGGAUGUUGGUCUCAACUCGGAGAUCAGUGUCGAAGCUAACGCGUUAAGUUCGCCGCCUGGGGAGUACGGUCGCAAGACUGAAACUCAAAGGAAUUGACGG